UGUCAGGUGCGCCCGGCACGCCGCCCGCCCGCCGGUGCGGCAGCCGCGGGCGGGAAGCGGGGAGAUGGUUGUUUUGUUGUUUUUUUUUCCUUCUUUCCCUUAAUCCUUCCGCAUGUCCUCCCCUCCCACCCUCCGCUUUUUUUUUUCCGUUUAACUUUUUUUUUUUUUUUUUUUUUUUUUUUUCCUGCUCGCUGAGGGAGGGAGGGAGAGAGGGGGUCUGCUGACAGCGGAGAUUUUGCGCGUGGGGCCACGGCAGCCGCGCCCGUGGCUUCCUUCCACGCCUCACCCCGCGCCGAGGGGAGUCACGGGGCUGACGAGCGGCCACGGAGGACGCCUGCGGCCGCCGGGGAGCUCCGCCGCUCUGACCCGGAGCGGGCCGGGACGGGCUGCCCGGCAGCCGCAGCCGAGGAGGUAACGCCGCUGUGGGAGCUGCCGGAAACGGGAAGCACGGCGGCCGCUUCCCGCCCUUCCCGCCGCCGUGAGAGGAGCGCCCGCGGAGCCCGCCCUGAGGGCCGAGCGCUGCGCCGGGCCCCGAGCUGAGGGCUGUGGAGAGGAUCCCUCCCGCCUGGCUGGUAGCGGGCUCCCAGAGAGAGUGUCUGCCCUGCCGGCACAGCAGAUGCCUUGGGUGAUUCAGAAAUGAGCAGUGGGAGCGCUUGGUGAUUUUCACAGGAGGAAGACAGCAGCCAGCAAGGCCCCGGCUCCCUGCCAUCUUGAGCCCUUCCUGGUGAUUUGCAGCAGCACAGAUAAGUACGGAGCACUGAGGACUGAAGUCAGCGUUUGGACCUGACUUUAUUUUAGUAUAAAUGACCACAUGAGAUUCAUACCAAUGAAGAUAUAGGAGUAAAAUAGCAGAAGUACAUAAAUGCCUCUUCUAAAAGUGCAGUUUCGAGUAUUUAAGGUUAAUGAGAUAGAUAGAAAAGAGUCCUCUUCACGUGUGUUUAUGUUUACAUGUCCUAACAGAAAGUGACGCAUUAUCUUACAUACCAGGUGUGUUUUGGAUGAAUCUCUAUCACCCUAUUGAUAUCAGGGGAACUGAAUUGAUUUAAAUUAGUGAAGGAACUAACCCAGCUAAGUUUUAAAUAAUUGCAAUAAUAUUCUCUGUCUCUUUCAGUCAGAUUUGCCCUUCGUGUUUAGUUGUUUCAUAAUCCUGCAGCUCUCCAUUUCAUCUUUACAAGACCAGAAUCUCUAUUUUCCUGUGAACAGGGAAAAAAACCCACCACCGUAAAAGGCAGUCCUUUUAUAUUCCAAUCUUUAUUUCCUUGUUUAAAUAAACUUAGGGCACAAAAGCUCA
Tympanuchus pallidicinctus (lesser prairie-chicken) is the source of this 1291-nucleotide long non-coding RNA. RefSeq lists it as uncharacterized. NCBI's taxonomy places the organism in Eukaryota, Metazoa, Chordata, Aves, Galliformes, Phasianidae. The transcript has 2 exons. The record is from RefSeq and is a predicted model, not a curated record.